GGGGGCGGGGACGAUCAUCGCCGUGGCAACGCACGCCAUCCUGUCCGCGGACGCUCCCAGGAUCCUCCAGGAGUCAGUCAUUAGUCAGAGAGGAGAGGAGGAUGUGAAGUUAAAGAACAUGGGUUCUUGGCCCAGCGUUCUCAGUCCACCCCCGCCUCCGCUGUCCGCUCCUCUAGCGACAGCUUCGAACAGGUCCGUCGCGUCGCCCGAGAGAAGGAGAGAGAGAAACAGCUAAAAGCACAGGCCAGGAGAGAGCAGGAGAAACUACGUAGCCGUGACUACGAGGACUCUGUGGAGCAGCAGGGGAGGGGGCGUGUCCAGGAGGACACUCGCCGUCGCCAGGAGCAACUUUCGCCUCAACCCCUCCCGCCGACUCCCCACAGGCCCCUCCCACUCAACAGGCCACACCCUCGGCCGCAGCAGAACGCCAUGGACCAGCAGAGGGAGCUGGCGAGACGCCGCGAGCAGGAAAGGAGGAGGAGAGAGAUGGCGGACACCAUUGACAUCAACUUCCAGAGCGACUUGAUGGCCAUCUUUGAAGAGAACCUUUUCUGAGAGAGAGAUUGAGAAAGGAGGAGAGGGAGAGAAAGAGAUAUGAACUCUACCUUAUCCCACCAUGGCUGGGAUUUCACACACAACACCCUCCCUCCCUCUGAUUAGAGACCCCAGACCAGGAUGUGAGCUCCAGAGACUUGAAGGAGACUGAGGUGAGGUACAGUAAUAAGGAGUAGCCCUC
RNAcentral lists this long non-coding RNA (736 nucleotides) under Salmo salar (Atlantic salmon). RNAcentral describes it as "lncRNA (ENSSSAG00000112395.1)". The record is from RNAcentral. Lineage: Eukaryota; Metazoa; Chordata; Actinopteri; Salmoniformes; Salmonidae.